This 253-nucleotide ribosomal RNA is filed under the name uncultured bacterium. RNAcentral's name for it is "partial 16S ribosomal RNA". It matches the Rfam family "Bacterial small subunit ribosomal RNA", at positions 524 to 776 of the family's 1533-position model. The record is from RNAcentral.
UACGAAGGGGGCUAGCGUUGCUCGGAAUCACUGGGCGUAAAGCGCACGUAGGCGGAUUGCUAAGUCAGGGGUGAAAUCCUGGAGCUCAACUCCAGAACUGCCUUUAAGACUGCUUCGCUUGAAUCCGGGAGAGGUGAGUGGAACUGCGAGUGUAGAGGUGAAAUUCGUAGAUAUUCGCAAGAACACCAGUGGCGAAGGCGGCUCACUGGCCCGAUACUGACGCUGAGGUGCGAAAGCGUGGGGAGCAAACAGG